This 337-nucleotide unclassified non-coding RNA is filed under the name soil metagenome. RNAcentral describes it as "partial contains 5.8S ribosomal RNA, internal transcribed spacer 2, and large subunit ribosomal RNA". The stretch from base 1 to 120 matches the Rfam family "5.8S ribosomal RNA", at positions 35 to 154 of the family's 154-position model. The record is from RNAcentral.
GAUGAAGAACGUAGCGAAAUGCGAUAAGUAGUGUGAAUUGCAGAAUUCAGUGAAUCAUCGAAUCUUUGAACGCACAUUGCGCCCCUUGGUAUUCCAUGGGGCAUGCCUGUUCGAGCGUCAUUUGUACCUUCAAGCUCUGCUUGGUGUUGGGUGUUUGUCUCGCCUCUGCGUGUGGACUCGCCUCAAAACAAUUGGCAGCCGGCGUAUUGAUUUCGGAGCGCAGUACAUCUCGCGCUUUGCACUCAUAACGACGACGUCCAAAAGUACAUUUUUACACUCUUGACCUCGGAUCAGGUAGGGAUACCCGCUGAACUUAAGCAUAUCAAUAAGCGGAGGA